UACGAGAACUCUUCUGCUUGCAGAAGAUAGUAAAGUGGCGCACGGGUGAGUAACGCGUGGGUAAUCUACCUCCGAAUUGGGGAUAACCCCGCGAAAGCGGGGCUAAUACCGGAUAAUAUCUUUUAUAUUUCGGCAUUAAAGAUCAAAGGUGGUCUCUACAUGUAAGCUACUGUUUGGAGAUGAGCCCGCGUGCCAUUAGCUUGUUGGUAGGGUAAUGGCCUACCAAGGCUACGAUGGCUAGCUGGUCUGAGAGGAUGAUCAGCCACACUGGAACUGACACACGGUCCAGACUCCUACGGGAGGCAGCAGUGAGGAAUUUUGCGCAAUGGGGGAAACCCUGACGCAGCAACGCCGCGUGAGUGAUGAAGGCUUUCGGGUCGUAAAGCUCUGUCAAGUGGGAAGAACAUGCUCGAUGUUAAUACCAUCGUGCACUGACGGUACCACUGAAGGAAGCACCGGCUAACUCCGUGCCAGCAGCCGCGGUAAUACGGGGGGUGCAAGCGUUAUUCGGAAUUAUUGGGCGUAAAGGGCGCGCAGGCGGUCUCUUAAGUCAGAUGUGAAAGCCCGGGGCUCAACCCCGGAAGUGCAUUUGAAACUAAGGGACUUGAGUAUGGGAGAGGGAAGUGGAAUUCCUGGUGUAGAGGUGAAAUUCGUAGAUAUCAGGAGGAACACCGGUGGCGAAGGCGACUUCCUGGACCAAUACUGACGCUGAGGCGCGAAGGCGUGGGGAGCAAACAGGAUUAGAUACCCUGGUAGUCCACGCAGUAAACGGUGAACACUAGGUGUAGCGGGUAUUUACCCCUGCUGUGCCGCAGCUAACGCAUUAAGUGUUCCGCCUGGGGAGUACGGUCGCAAGAUUAAAACUCAAAGGAAUUGACGGGGGCCCGCACAAGCGGUGGA
This 900-nucleotide ribosomal RNA is filed under the name uncultured bacterium. Its description in RNAcentral is "bacterial SSU rRNA". It matches the Rfam family "Bacterial small subunit ribosomal RNA", at positions 65 to 936 of the family's 1533-position model. The record is from RNAcentral.